GAACGAUCUUGUCACCAGCUUUCGUCCGAUAGUACCCUUGUUCGAAGUUUCUCAAAGUUUCUCGAGGUGUUUUGAAGUUGAAUAUUGUCGAUUUUGUUGGAGUUUUGGAUACAUUUCAACGGAGUUUGUCUUCUUCAGAAGAGUUGUUGGUAAACUGAAUUUUCUACAACACACAAGGCCAAGUAUUGCCUUCUCUGUUCAGCAUUUAAGUCAAUUCCUUCAGGUUCCACACAUGCUAGCUGGUAUACAUAUUCUCAGAUAUUUACUAAAUGACCCUGAUCUUGGCCUACUAUUAUCUAAUUCACCUGAUAUGGUUGCUUUUUCUGAUUCUAUUUGGGCAGCUUAUGCCCAAUCAAGAAGGUCAGUUACUGGUUAUUUUAUUACCCUUGGUGGUUCUCCUGUCUCGUGGAAGAGCAAGAAACAACCAAUGGUUUCACUAUCAUCUGCAGAGGCUAAGUACAGGGCCCUUAGAAAGGUUGUUACAGAGAUUUCUUGGUUGGUCAUUUAUUGGGAGAUUUGGGUUUAUCUGUUUCUCAGCCUGUACCUUUUUUUUGUGACAGCCAGGCUGCCCUUCACAUUGCAAGAAAUCCAGUUUUCCAUGAAUGCACCAAUCAUAUAGAUAUUGAUUGCCAUUUUGUACGAGACUGCUUGUCAUCUGCCUGAUUUCCCUUCAUUAUGUUUCUGCAACUGGGCAACUUGCUGACAUCUUCACCAAAUCUCUUGCUGGUCACUUGCAUCAUGAGCUUCUUGGCAAGCUUGGAGUCUUUACACCCUCCAGCUUGAGGGGGGGGGGGGUGUUAACCUUAGCAUAGAUCAGAAUAAUCCCACUUAAUAUUUGUUAGUUAGUUACAUUAUUGUUUUGUUGGUUAGUUGUAUUGUUGUAUUUGUUAGACAGAAGCCCAAGUGUAUUUUGGUUAUGUUAACGGGCCAGCUGUAAACAGCUAGAUACACAACCCACUUUCUAUUUACUUAGGCUGAAUUGGCCCAUUUGACUCUCAGAUUGUAAAUAACAUUUUUGUGGUUGAAUAAAAAUUCUCUCUCCUCCUUCGAUAA
This is a long non-coding RNA of Lycium barbarum (goji berry), 1053 nucleotides long. RefSeq lists it as uncharacterized. The transcript is spliced from 2 exons. The record is from RefSeq and is a predicted model, not a curated record. NCBI's taxonomy places the organism in Eukaryota, Viridiplantae, Streptophyta, Magnoliopsida, Solanales, Solanaceae.